Molecule: ribosomal RNA, 253 nt
Filed under: uncultured bacterium
Lineage: Bacteria
Description: partial 16S ribosomal RNA
Rfam family: Bacterial small subunit ribosomal RNA
Source: RNAcentral
UACGGAGGAUGCAAGCGUUAUCCGGAAUGAUUGGGCGUAAAGCGUCCGCAGGUGGCAAUGUAAGUCUGCUGUUAAAGAGCCUAGCUCAACUAGAUAAAAGCAGUGGAAACUACAUAGCUAGAGUACGUUCGGGGCAGAGGGAAUUCCUGGUGUAGCGGUGAAAUGCGUAGAGAUCAGGAAGAACACCAGUGGCGAAGGCGCUCUGCUAGGCCGUAACUGACACUGAGGGACGAAAGCUAGGGGAGCGAAUGGG